CCUACGGGAGGCAGCAGUGAGGAAUAUUGGUCAAUGGACGAGAGUCUGAACCAGCCAAGUAGCGUGAAGGAUGACUGCCCUAUGGGUUGUAAACUUCUUUUAUAUGGGAAUAAAAUGUUCCACGUGUGGGAUUUUGUAUGUACCAUAUGAAUAAGGAUCGGCUAACUCCGUGCCAGCAGCCGCGGUAAUACGGAGGAUCCGAGCGUUAUCCGGAUUUAUUGGGUUUAAAGGGAGCGUAGGUGGAUUGUUAAGUCAGUUGUGAAAGUUUGCGGCUCAACCGUAAAAUUGCAGUUGAAACUGGCAGUCUUGAGUACAGUAGAGGUGAGCGGAAUUCGUGGUGUAGCGGUGAAAUGCUGAGAUAUCACGAAGAACUCCGAUUGCGAAGGCAGUUCACUGGACUGCAACUGACACUGAGGCUCGAAAGUGUGGGUAUCAAACAGGAUUAGAUACCCGUGUAGUC
Molecule: ribosomal RNA, 460 nt
Filed under: uncultured bacterium
Lineage: Bacteria
Description: partial 16S ribosomal RNA
Rfam family: Bacterial small subunit ribosomal RNA
Source: RNAcentral